RNAcentral lists this long non-coding RNA (719 nucleotides) under Coturnix japonica (Japanese quail). RNAcentral's name for it is "lncRNA (ENSCJPG00005019596.1)". The record is from RNAcentral. Lineage: Eukaryota; Metazoa; Chordata; Aves; Galliformes; Phasianidae.
ACGCGGGCUGAGGCGGGACUCACGGCGGCCGGGCAGGGCCGGGCGGCGGCGGCGGCGGCGACUGCUCCGGGCAGCGCUGCAGGGCGAGGGCUGGCAACCGCCGGCAGGAGGGAGAUGCGCGCACACACCAGUGCGGAGAUAGAGGGAGGAUGAAUGGAUGGAGCGAUGCACAGAGCCGAGAGGAGUGCCUCUUGCCAAGCCGCCCCCUCCCCUCCAUGUGACGCAGAUGUGCUCUGGGGCCAUCAGUGUGAAUAGACACAGGGAAAGGGAUGCUUCAGUCAUCCUCACACAAUUUUUCAGAAUUUCUUAUCUUCAUGUUUCCCUGCAAGCGCUUUUGACAUUUGCCAGUGAGGCAAAGGACAUCUUCUAGACUACUGCAUGACAAGGGACAAAAUUCCAGCUUGCAGAAGAUACAGGAGUUGUGGUACAUUCCCUCACACAGGAUUGUUUUUUCUAUAUUGUAUAGCAACAUUGUUUCAAAAGGAAGAACUAAGAAAAUUAAAUUAUCUGCUCCAAGCCAGCAUCUCUUUGUGUAAAGCAUUGUCCUGGGAAAUCCAGAAUGCUUAACUUACCCUGUCAGUGUAAGGUGUGCAUUAAAGUAUUUGACAGCCUGGAAAAUUCCUCUGGCCAUAAGGAAAUAAUACAAAAUACAAACAAGACAUCAGUUUGUCUUCCUGUGUUUAUUCCUUAAAAUAAUAAAUAGAUAAAUAAAUAAAUCA